RNAcentral lists this ribosomal RNA (277 nucleotides) under uncultured bacterium. Its description in RNAcentral is "partial 16S ribosomal RNA". It matches the Rfam family "Bacterial small subunit ribosomal RNA", at positions 32 to 293 of the family's 1533-position model. The record is from RNAcentral.
AAUCAACGCUGGCGGCGUGCCUAACACAUGCAAGUCGAACGCGAAAGUCCCGCAAGGGAUGAGUAGAGUGGCAAACGGGUGAGUAACACGUGGGUGACCUGCCUUCGAGCGGGGGAUAACGUCCCGAAAGGGACGCUAAUACCGCAUGACAUCCUGCCUUUGAAGAGGUGGAGAUCAAAGCUGGGGAUCGCAAGACCUAGCACUUGAAGAGGGGCCCGCGUCUGAUUAGCUAGUUGGUGGGGUAACGCUCACCAAGGCAACGAUCAGUAUCCGGCCU